UACGAAGGGGGCUAGCGUUGCUCGGAAUGACUGGGCGUAAAGGGCGCGUAGGCGGUUUGUCUAGUCAGACGUGAAAUUCCUGGGCUUAACCUGGGGGCUGCGUUUGAUACGUGCAGACUUGAGUGAGGAAGAGGGUUGUGGAAUUCCCAGUGUAGAGGUGAAAUUCGUAGAUAUUGGGAAGAACACCGGUGGCGAAGGCGGCAACCUGGUCCUUUACUGACGCUGAGGCGCGAAAGCGUGGGGAGCAAACAGG
RNAcentral lists this ribosomal RNA (253 nucleotides) under uncultured bacterium. RNAcentral describes it as "partial 16S ribosomal RNA". It matches the Rfam family "Bacterial small subunit ribosomal RNA", at positions 524 to 776 of the family's 1533-position model. The record is from RNAcentral.